GCCCGGGUAGCUCAGUUGGUAGAGCAGCGGAUUGAAAAUCCGCGUGUCACUGGUUCGAUUCCGGUUCCGGGCACCA
RNAcentral lists this transfer RNA (76 nucleotides) under Devosia sp. MC521. Its description in RNAcentral is "tRNA-Phe". It matches the Rfam family "tRNA". From Rfam's summary of the family: Transfer RNA (tRNA) molecules are approximately 80 nucleotides in length. Their secondary structure includes four short double-helical elements and three loops (D, anti-codon, and T loops). The record is from RNAcentral. RNAcentral also lists the same sequence under 2 other names. Lineage: Bacteria; Pseudomonadati; Pseudomonadota; Alphaproteobacteria; Hyphomicrobiales; Devosiaceae.